GGGUCAAUAAGUGCAUUUUCAAAGGGGCCACUUUGUCCGGACUCUAUUUCAAAUUGUAUUCAUCCGAUCUUCACCAAACUUGGUCAGCAGUUGCAUCUAGUUGAUAUAUAGGCCAAGUUCGAAUAUGGGUCAUGCCGGGUCAAAAACUAGGUCAUAGGGUCAAUUAGUCCAUUUUCAACAGCGCCACUUUGUCCGGACUCUUAUUCAAAUUGUAUUCAUCCGAUCUUUACCAAACUUGGUCAGUAGUUUCAAGAUAAGUAAUAUCAGUACAGGAAAUACUGCCAUUCUAUACCUAUGUAGGUCUAAACAAUUAUGAUUUAAAUAUUGUGUUUUAGAGAACAAAUGAGACUAAGUGUACACUUAUUGAUAUCAAUGCAUAUAUAUGAAUAUAUCAGUUAUAUAAGU
This is a long non-coding RNA of Dreissena polymorpha, 405 nucleotides long. RefSeq lists it as uncharacterized. The record is from RefSeq and is a predicted model, not a curated record. The transcript is spliced from 2 exons. NCBI's taxonomy places the organism in Eukaryota, Metazoa, Mollusca, Bivalvia, Myida, Dreissenidae.